Long non-coding RNA from Mauremys reevesii (Reeves's turtle), 411 nucleotides. RefSeq lists it as uncharacterized. The transcript is spliced from 3 exons. NCBI's taxonomy places the organism in Eukaryota, Metazoa, Chordata, Testudines, Geoemydidae. The record is from RefSeq and is a predicted model, not a curated record.
GACCCACUAAAGGAACAGAAUACCUUUCUUUGCAACUACAAGCUUAUAACGUGAAACAUUAGAAUAAAUUUAUUGUUUUAAGACACAGAUCAAUCAGAAGACUGCCAAUGGAAUCAAGAAUCUCUCCCCAUGACAGACAGGGCAAAAAACUAUCUGAAAGGUCACUGCUAUGUAAAAAGGUAAGAACAAGAACCAUGAGGAUCUAGCAGGAGAGAAAUUUCUUGAGGAACUGGAGAACAAGAGGAACAUUUGUAAGCACCACACCCAGAGGAGCAAAGAAAGGAGCAACAUGAAAGCAUUUAGAGACUGAAGGGAAGAAGGACUUGGCAGCAAAGAACCCGAUGGAGAGAAGGUAUGCAGAUGGAAAGAAGGAACAGAGUUAUGGCAGCAGAGAAACACAUACCAAGAGAA